AGUGAACGCUGGCGGUAGGCCUAACACAUGCAAGUCGAGCGGCAGCACAGUAAGAGCUUGCUCUUACGGGUGGCGAGUGGCGGACGGGUGAGGAAUACAUCGGAAUCUACUUUUUCGUGGGGGAUAACGUAGGGAAACUUACGCUAAUACCGCAUACGACCUACGGGUGAAAGCAGGGGAUCUUCGGACCUUGCGCGAUUGAAUGAGCCGAUGUCGGAUUAGCUAGUUGGCGGGGUAAAGGCCCACCAAGGCGACGAUCCGUAGCUGGUCUGAGAGGAUGAUCAGCCACACUGGAACUGAGACACGGUCCAGACUCCUACGGGAGGCAGCAGUGGGGAAUAUUGGACAAUGGGCGCAAGCCUGAUCCAGCCAUACCGCGUGGGUGAAGAAGGCCUUCGGGUUGUAAAGCCCUUUUGUUGGGAAAGAAAAGCAGCAGGUUAACACCCCGCUGUUCUGACGGUACCCAAAGAAUAAGCACCGGCUAACUUCGUG
RNAcentral lists this ribosomal RNA (492 nucleotides) under uncultured bacterium. RNAcentral's name for it is "partial 16S ribosomal RNA". It matches the Rfam family "Bacterial small subunit ribosomal RNA", at positions 29 to 507 of the family's 1533-position model. The record is from RNAcentral.